This 93-nucleotide transfer RNA is filed under the name Candidatus Bathyarchaeota archaeon. Its description in RNAcentral is "tRNA-Lys". It matches the Rfam family "tRNA". Rfam says of the family: Transfer RNA (tRNA) molecules are approximately 80 nucleotides in length. Their secondary structure includes four short double-helical elements and three loops (D, anti-codon, and T loops). RNAcentral also lists the same sequence under 1 other name. Lineage: Archaea; Thermoproteati; Candidatus Bathyarchaeota. The record is from RNAcentral.
GGGCCCGUAGCUCAGCAAGGAUAGAAAGCCAAUGUCCAAAGCACCGGGCUUUUAACCCGGGGGUCUCGGGUUCAAUUCCCGACGGGCCCGCCA